RNAcentral lists this ribosomal RNA (473 nucleotides) under bacterium DM-R2. RNAcentral's name for it is "partial small subunit ribosomal RNA". It matches the Rfam family "Bacterial small subunit ribosomal RNA", at positions 17 to 491 of the family's 1533-position model. The record is from RNAcentral.
UCCUGGCUCAGAUUGAACGCUGNCGGCAUGCUUUACACAUGCAAGUNGAACGGUAACAGGNAGCUUGNUCCGCUNACGAGUGNCGNNNGGGUGAGUAAUGNGUCGUAACGUGCCGAGUAGUGGGGGAUAACUAUCCGAAAGGAUAGCUAAUACNGCAUACGCUUUGAGAAGGAAAGCAGAGGAUCGCAAGNCCUUGNGCUAUUCGANNGGNNNACGUCUGAUUAGCUAGUUGGUNAGGUAAAGGCUCACCAAGGCAUCGAUCAGUAGCGGGUCUGANAGGAUGAUCCGCCACACUGGGACUGAGACUCGGCCCAGACUCCUACGGNAGNCACCAAGUGGGGAAUUUUGGACAAUGGGCGCAAGCCUGAUCCACGCCAUGCCGCUGUGUCUGAAGAAGGCCUUCGGGUUGUAAAGGACUUUUGUCAGGGAGGAAAUCCCUAGCGCUAAUAUCGUUGGCGGCAUGAAAAGUACAU